AGACGUCUACAUUAGAUACCCGUGUAGUCCCAGCCGUAAACUAUGCGCGUUAGGUGUACUGGUGACCACGAGUCACCGGGGUGCCGAAGGGAAACCGUGAAACGUGCCGCCUGGGAAGUACGGUCGCAAGGCUGAAACUUAAAGGAAUUGGCGGGGAGCACCACAACAGGUGGAGCCUGCGGUUUAAUUGGACUCAACGCCGGGAAGCUCACCGGAUAGGACAGCAGAAUGAUUGCCGGGCUGAAGACCCUGCAUGACUAGCUG
This 264-nucleotide ribosomal RNA is filed under the name uncultured archaeon. RNAcentral describes it as "partial 16S ribosomal RNA". It matches the Rfam family "Archaeal small subunit ribosomal RNA", at positions 717 to 982 of the family's 1478-position model. The record is from RNAcentral.